GGCCUAUCAGCUUGUUGUUAGUAAUGGCUUACCAAAGGCGACAACGGGGUAGUCGGCCUGAGGAGGGCAGACCGUGCAACACUGGGACUUGAGAACACGGCCCCAGACUUCCUUACGGGGAGGCCAGCAAUUGGGGAAAUAUUGCCAACAAAUGUGGGCGAAAGCCUGAAUGCAAGCACCCCCGCGUGAGGGAAUGACGGCCUCUCGGGUUGUAACCUCUGCUCAGCAGGGAAGAAGCGAAAGUGACGGUACCUGCAGAAGAAGCGCCGGCUAACUACGUGCCAGCAGCCGCGGUAAUACUAGGGCGCAAGCGUUGUCCGGAAUUAUUGGGCGUAAAGAGCUCGUAGGCGGCUUGUCACGUCGGUUGUGAAAGCCCGGGGCUUAACCCCGGGUCUGCAAUCGAUACGGGCAGGCUAGAGUUCGGUAGGGGAGAUCGGAAUUCCUGGUGUCCCGGUGAAAUGCGCAGAUAUCAGGAUGGAACACCGGAUGGCGAAGGCGGAUCUCUGGGCCGAUACUGACGCUGAGGAGCGAAAGCGUGGGGAGCGAACAGGAUUAGAUACCCUGGUAGUCCACGCCGUAAACGGUGGGCACUAGGUGUGGGCAUACAUUCCACGUUGUCCGUGCCGCAGCUAACGCUAUUAAGUGCCCCGCCUGGGGAGUACGG
Molecule: ribosomal RNA, 664 nt
Filed under: Streptomyces sp. ENT-21
Lineage: Bacteria; Bacillati; Actinomycetota; Actinomycetes; Kitasatosporales; Streptomycetaceae
Description: bacterial SSU rRNA
Rfam family: Bacterial small subunit ribosomal RNA
Source: RNAcentral